ACGAACGCUGGCGGCGUGCUUAACACAUGCAAGUCAAGGGGGCCCGCAAGGGCAACCGGCGAACGGGUGCGUAACACGUGAGCAAGCUUCCGAUUUGUGGGGGAUAGCCGGCCCAACGGCCGGGUACUACCGCAUACCUUCCCUGGACGGCAUCGUCUGGUGAGGAAACCUCCGGGGCAAAUCGAGGCGCUCGCGGCCUAUCAGCUAGUUGGCGAGGUAACGGCUCACCACGGCUAUGACGGGUAGCUGGUCUGAGAGGAUGGCCAGCCACAUGGGGACGGCGACACGGCCCAGACUCCGACGGGAGGCAGCAGUGGGGAAUAUUGCGCAAUGGACGAAAGGCUGACGCAGCGACGCCGCGUGUGGGAUGAAGCCUUUCGGGGCGUAAACCACUGUUGCCCGGGACGAACAUCCUCUUUCGAGGGGACUGACGGUACCGGGUGAGGAAGCACCGGCUAACUCUGU
This 465-nucleotide ribosomal RNA is filed under the name uncultured bacterium. RNAcentral's name for it is "bacterial SSU rRNA". It matches the Rfam family "Bacterial small subunit ribosomal RNA", at positions 29 to 506 of the family's 1533-position model. The record is from RNAcentral.